This 430-nucleotide ribosomal RNA is filed under the name uncultured bacterium. RNAcentral describes it as "bacterial SSU rRNA". It matches the Rfam family "Archaeal small subunit ribosomal RNA", at positions 339 to 776 of the family's 1478-position model. The record is from RNAcentral.
GCGAGAAACCUUUGCAAUGUGCGCAAGCACGACAAGGUUAAUCCGAGUGUUUCCUGCUAAAGGAAUCUUUUGUUAGUUCUAAAACCACUGAUGAAUAAGAGGUGGGCAAGUUCUGGUGUCAGCCGCCGCGGUAAAACCAGCACCUCAAGUGGUCAGGAGGAUUAUUGGGCCUAAAGCAUCCGUAGCCGGUUCUGUAAGUUUUCGGUUAAAUCCACUAGCUUAACUAAUGGGCUGCCGAAAAUACUGCAGAACUAGGGAGUGGGAGAGGUAGACGGUACUCGGUAGGAAGGGGUAAAAUCCUUUGAUCUAUUGAUGACCACCUGUGGCGAAGGCGGUCUACCAGAACACGUUCGACGGUGAGGGAUGAAAGCGUGGGGAGCAAACAGGAUUAGAUACCCAAGUAGUCCCUGAGCGGGCUGGCAAGGCGCAU